RNAcentral lists this ribosomal RNA (492 nucleotides) under uncultured bacterium. Its description in RNAcentral is "partial 16S ribosomal RNA". It matches the Rfam family "Bacterial small subunit ribosomal RNA", at positions 29 to 507 of the family's 1533-position model. The record is from RNAcentral.
AGUGAACGCUGGCGGUAGGCCUAACACAUGCAAGUCGAACGGCAGCACAGUAAGAGCUUGCUCUUACGGGUGGCGAGUGGCGGACGGGUGAGGAAUACAUCGGCAUCUACUUUUUCGUGGGGGAUAACGGAAGGAAACUGACACUACUACCGCAUACGACCUACGGGUGGAAGCAGUAGAUCUUCGGAGCUUGCGCGAUUGAAUGAGCCGACGUCGGAUUAGCUAGGUGGCCGGGUAACGGCACACCAAGCCGACGAUCCGUAGCUGGCCUGAGAGGAUGGUCGGCCACACUGGAGCUGAGCCACGGUCCAGAGUCCUACGGGAGGCAGCAGUAGGGAGUCUUGCGCAAUGGGCGAAAGCCUGACGGAGCAACGCCGCGUGAGUGAUGAAGGUCUUCGGAUCGUAAACCUCUGUUAUUAGGGAAGAACAAAUGUGUAAGUAACUCUGCACGUCUUGACGGUACCUAAUCAGAAAGCCACGGCUAACUACGUG